Long non-coding RNA from Uranotaenia lowii, 325 nucleotides. RefSeq lists it as uncharacterized. Lineage: Eukaryota; Metazoa; Arthropoda; Insecta; Diptera; Culicidae. The record is from RefSeq and is a predicted model, not a curated record. The transcript is spliced from 3 exons.
CGGAAAGUGAGCUAAAUACAUCAACAAGAACGGGGUAAACAAAAUAGAAAAAAAGACCGGCAAAAACAGGGAAUCGAUCUGGAUAGCUUGUGUAGCAAAGGGCAGUUUUCAAAUUGUUAAUUUUCUAAAGUGUUUACCGAUUAAAAGGCAGGAAGUGAUUUACUAUUCAUCCAUAUUAUACAGUCUACAAGACAAAUCGUCACUUCAAGUGAAUCUAACCUGCAAAGGCAUAAUUCCGAGUCUCGGAUCGUUAAAAUCAACAAUCGUUAUUUACAAUAUUGUACCGUUUCGAGACUAAAUAAGCGAAAUAGUCAUUCGUUUCCUG